CCUACGGGUGGCAGCAGUGAGGAAUAUUGGUCAAUGGACUCAAGUCUGAACCAGCCAUGCCGCGUGCAGGAAGACGGCUCUAUGAGUUGUAAACCUCUUUUGUACGGGGGUAAACGCAGAUACGUGUAUCUGUCUGAAAGUAUCCUACGAAUAAGGAUCGGCUAACUCCGUGCCAGCAGCCCGCGUAAUACGGAGGGUUCCAGCGUUAUGCGGAUUUAUUGGGUUUAAAGGGUGCGUAGGCUGUCGGAUAAUUUCGAGGUGAAAUCCCGAGGCUCAACUUCGGAAGUGCCUCUGAAACUGUUCGGCUAGAGAGUAGUUGCGGUAGGCGGAAUGUGUGGUGUAGCGGUGAAAUGCUUAGAGAUCACACAGAACACCGAUUGCGAAGGCAGCUUACCAAGCUACAUCUGACGUUGAGGCACGAAAGCGUGGGGAGCAAACAGGAUUAGAUACCCGGGUAGUC
RNAcentral lists this ribosomal RNA (460 nucleotides) under uncultured bacterium. Its description in RNAcentral is "partial 16S ribosomal RNA". It matches the Rfam family "Bacterial small subunit ribosomal RNA", at positions 338 to 795 of the family's 1533-position model. The record is from RNAcentral.